This 459-nucleotide ribosomal RNA is filed under the name uncultured bacterium. Its description in RNAcentral is "partial 16S ribosomal RNA". It matches the Rfam family "Bacterial small subunit ribosomal RNA", at positions 338 to 795 of the family's 1533-position model. The record is from RNAcentral.
CCUACGGGUGGCUGCAGUGAGGAAUAUUGGUCAAUGGCCGAGAGGCUGAACCAGCCAAGUCGCGUGAGGGAAGACGGCCCUACGGGUUGUAAACCUCUUUUGUCGGGGAGCAAAGCGAGUCACGUGUGACUCAUUGCGAGUACCCGAAGAAAAAGCAUCGGCUAACUCCGUGCCAGCAGCCGCGGUAAUACGGAGGAUGCGAGCGUUAUCCGGAUUUAUGGGGUUAAAAGGGUGCGCAGGCGGCGGUGCAAGUCAGCGGUCAAAUUGCGGGGCUCAACCCCGUACUGCCGUUGAAACUGCAUGCCUUGAGUGCGCGAGAGGUAUGCGGAAUGCGUGGUGUAGCGGUGAAAUGCAUAGAUAUCACGAAGAACUCCGAUUGCGAAGGCAGCAUACCGGCGCGCAACUGACGCUGAUGCACGAAAGCGUGGGUAUCGAACAGGAUUAGAUACCCGAGUAGUC